GGAUUUUAUGCCCUGAGAGCAUAUGAUAGCAUUUCAACUAUUAUAAAGGCCAUGGAGAAAAUGUCCAGCAACAGUAGUAGUAGUCCAAAUGAGUUCUUGAAUAAUAUAUUGUCAAGCAAUUUCUCUGGUUUAAGUGGUCAGAUACGUUUCAAAGCAGGCGAGUUAAUGCAUAGUCCUAAACUGGGGAUUGUGAACGUGGUUGGAAAGAAAUAUAAGGAGAUAGACUUCUGGUUGCCUAGGUACGGAUUCUGGGAAAGUAAUGAAGAAGGUGGAGGACAUCAAAACGGUGGUGGGUCUCUGCAACUGCAAGGUCAUGUGAAUUGGCCUGGGAACCUAAAGCGGAUUCCAAAAGGCUGGGCAAUGCCUUCAAAUACAAAACCCAUGACUAUUGGCGUUCCAGGGAGAACCUCGUUC
RNAcentral lists this unclassified non-coding RNA (414 nucleotides) under Hevea brasiliensis (rubber tree). Lineage: Eukaryota; Viridiplantae; Streptophyta; Magnoliopsida; Malpighiales; Euphorbiaceae. The record is from RNAcentral.